AGAAGUGCUUAAAAAACUGCUGGGAUUGAGGCUGGAGGAGGAAAACGGAAUUCCCGGUGUAAGGGUGAAAUCUGUAGAUAUCGGGAAGAACACCUGUGGCGAAAGCGGUUUUCUAGUCCAGUCCUGACACUGAGCUGCGAAAGCUAGGGGAGCAAACAGGAUUAGAUACCCUGGUAGUCCUAGCCGUAAACGAUGAGCACUAGGUGUUGGGAGUUAAACUUUCAGCGCCGUAAGAUAACUCGUUAAGUGCUCCACCUGGGGACUACGGCCGCAAGGCUAAAACUCAAAGGAAUUGACGGAGGCCCGCACAAGCGGUGGAACAUGUGGUUUAAUUCGACGCUACGCGAAGAACCUUACCAGGGUUUGACAUCUCGGCGUUCUAUUCCCUUGAAAGAGGGAAAAUCCGCAAGGAGGCCGAGACAGGUGCUGCAUGGCUGUCGUCAGCUCGUGUCGUGAGAUGUUGGGUUAAGUCCCGCAACGAGCGCAACCAUUAUCCUUAGUUGCUACCCCGCACCCAGCAGCAAUGCUGGGUGUGGGGGCACUCUAAGGAGACUGCCUGCGAUAAGCAGGAGGAAGGUGGAGAUGACGUCAAGUCCGUAUGGCCUUUAUGCCCUGGGCUACACACGUGUUACAAUGCCUGCUACAAAGCGUUGCCAAACCGCGAGGUGGAGCUAAUCGCAAAAAAGCAGGCUCAGUUCAGAUUGGAGUCUGCAAUUCGACUCCAUGAAGACGGAAUCGCUAGUAAUGGCGGAUCAGCUAUGCUGCCGUGAAUACGUUCCCGGGCCUUGUACACACCGCCCGUCAAGCGAUGGAAGCUGGGGGUACCU
This 827-nucleotide ribosomal RNA is filed under the name uncultured Omnitrophica bacterium. RNAcentral's name for it is "bacterial SSU rRNA". It matches the Rfam family "Bacterial small subunit ribosomal RNA", at positions 617 to 1422 of the family's 1533-position model. Lineage: Bacteria; Pseudomonadati; Candidatus Omnitrophota. The record is from RNAcentral.